AAUAGUCAUAUAAUAUUAUUAGGGGAUGCGGGGCGAAAUUUUAGAAUUUUUGGAGCUUGUUUGAGUGGAUUUUUGCAAAAUAUCAAUUAUAGAGACUAAAACGUAAUUUUUAAGAUUUUGAGUAUUGUCUGAUUUGGAGGGCCCAGGAGGGGCCAUGUGAUAUUGAUGAGAUGUGAUUGUGGAAAUUGAGAAUCUAGAAGUAUUAUUUGAGCCUUUUUGCAGGUUGGGUAGGUCCCAGGUAUAGGGGAAACUCUGCCGGAUUUCCGGCAUGAAUUAGGCUGUCUAUUGCCUCUUUAGAGUUUUAUCUUAACUUAGUACUAAUAAAUUUAUAAUUUAAUUAUUAGGUGAUCGAGGUCAGCUAUUUUUCUACAUCCAGCAGCCACAAUAGUCAUCGGUGUACUGCCACAGGAGGAUAUUUUAUUCUGGGUUAACCUGCUUUUCUACUUCGCAGGUUGUUUAUCAAUAUUUGUGUAAUUUUAUUUACUCCUAGAAUUUUCGCAUGUGUUAGCAGUAAUUAUUUGAAUUUGGUCUGUAAUAUUAUUAUCAUGUUGGACCUGUAAACUUAA
Hevea brasiliensis (rubber tree) is the source of this 566-nucleotide long non-coding RNA. RefSeq lists it as uncharacterized. The record is from RefSeq and is a predicted model, not a curated record. Lineage: Eukaryota; Viridiplantae; Streptophyta; Magnoliopsida; Malpighiales; Euphorbiaceae. The transcript is spliced from 2 exons.